RNAcentral lists this RNase P RNA (805 nucleotides) under Planctomycetota bacterium. Its description in RNAcentral is "RNase P RNA component class A". It matches the Rfam family "Bacterial RNase P class A". Rfam says of the family: Ribonuclease P (RNase P) is a ubiquitous endoribonuclease, found in archaea, bacteria and eukarya as well as chloroplasts and mitochondria. Its best characterised activity is the generation of mature 5'-ends of tRNAs by cleaving the 5'-leader elements of precursor-tRNAs. Cellular RNase Ps are ribonucleoproteins. The record is from RNAcentral. Lineage: Bacteria; Pseudomonadati; Planctomycetota.
AACGGCGGGUGACGCGGCCGCUCGGUGAGCGAUAUCGGGUAUCUGUCGCGGGCUCUGCCCACGUCGGAUUCCGUCGCGCGCCGAGAGGAAAGUCCGAGCUCCGCUGGACAGGGUGGUCGCUAACGGCGACCGUGGCGCAGCCAAAGUUGCGACACAGGGAAAGUGCCACAGAAAACAUACCGCCCCGCGUUUCGGCGCGUGGUAAGGGUGAAAUGGCGAGGUAAGAGCUCACCGCCUCGGCCCCCGACUUUGUCGGGGGGGCAGCGCCUCCCAGCGCUGCGGCGCCUUUUUUUCACCACGGAGACACGGAGAACACAGAGGAUUCGAACCGAGGCUUCUACAGUCUUCUCUGUGUCCUCUGUGGUGAGAGAACGGCGUUGCAGUAUUGAGGGGCGCUGCCUGGUAACACCGAGGGCAUGGCAAACCCCACCCGGAGAAAGGCCAAAUAGAGGGGCGAUCCCGCACCGGCUGCGGUCUUUGGUUGCGGGUCGCAGGUUGGAGGUCGCAUGUCUCGGAGACUGCCGCAACCUGCAACCUGCAACUCGAAACCGAAGCCGGUGCGGGAUUAGGCCGGUCCGGCCGAUUGCCCCAGGGUAGGCCGUUGGACCCCGCCCGCAAGGUCGGGGCUAGAUGAAUGGCCGCGCCCCGCACCCGUUUUCAGAGGACAGCCGACUGGCGCUUUGGAGCGUCAAAGCUGCAGCUUUGACCUUCAAUGUCAAAUUUCGCCAGCCCGCCGAUCCGGCGGACGCUGUCCUGUGAAAGCGGGUGCGGGGAACAGAACUCGGCUUACGGCCCGCCGUUCUCA